GGUAAUGUUCUCGAAUUUACAACAGAAAUGUCAGGGGCUGUUCAUAUCUACAUUCAUCAUGACUGUAAAUAUAAUUCUGAAAAACAAUUAGCUAAACUAACAGAGUGCUAUCUUCAUCAUAAUGAGGCCCAUUUUGUCAACCCAUGUUAUGCACUAAUCAAGUCAUUUGCAGUGUGCUAUCAACCACGGAGUUCAAACCAACUCCAUGUUAAUGCAGCGCCUCUUCAACCUCAAGAGGCUGAAGAAAUGUGGCUUCUCACCAAAAGCACUCAAACUUCUACAGAUGCACAAUCGAGAGCAUCCUGUCGGGCUGUAUCACUGCCUGGUACGGCAACUGCUCCACCC
Molecule: long non-coding RNA, 345 nt
Organism: Oncorhynchus tshawytscha (Chinook salmon)
Lineage: Eukaryota; Metazoa; Chordata; Actinopteri; Salmoniformes; Salmonidae
Source: Ensembl